GCGCACCCCCNCCUUUCAUUCCUCUUGCGGAAUGGAGGAAAUUUAAUCCAACAUCGAGGUCGCAAACAUACUUGUCGAUUCGAGCUUUCAAAGUAUAUUACGCUGUUAUCCCUAAAGUAACUUAUUUAAGCUUCAAAAAUUUUGGGUAUUAAGAUGAUGUUAUCCUUAUACUCUAAAAGUGUUUUUCUUUCUACCGCCCCAGUAAAACAUAUUUCCAAUUUAUUAAAUUAUUUUAUGUAAAGCUUUAUAGGGUCUUCUUGUCUAAAAGGAACAUUUUAGCCUUUUCACUAAAAGGUAAAGUUCAAAAGAAAAAGUUAAGAAAGAAACUCUUCAGUUUAUCCCUUCAUUCCAGUCUUAAAUUACAAGACUA
Molecule: ribosomal RNA, 370 nt
Filed under: Centruroides exilicauda
Lineage: Eukaryota; Metazoa; Arthropoda; Arachnida; Scorpiones; Buthidae
Description: partial 16S ribosomal RNA
Source: RNAcentral